UCUGAUUGGGAACACAUCAUCAGUGGACAUCGCGACCAAGGAGAACAUGGAGUCUCUGAUCGGGAUCGGCCAGGACCUGCUCAAGAAGCCAGUGGCCAGAGUGAACAUCGACACAGGUGUGUACGAGCCCUGCUCCGGCGAGGGGACGAAUGCAGAGGCGCUAGCUCACUUCGCCAAGAAGCUCUCUGACGAGCGCAAGCUACGCAAGCGCAAUCUCGACUCCUACUAGCAAGCUUGAAGGAUGAUGUCAGCAGAGAAGCUUGAAGGAGCCCUAGCUGCACCUACACUAGCUAGCAAUGUGCCUCACAUAGAUGCAUGGUAUUGGUAGCUAGUCAUUUCUUACUUUUUAUAACUAUAUUAAUCAGGAAACAAACACAUAUGUCGACCAAUAAACAUGUAAGUCCAAUCAUCAUUUGUUUGCCUAUGGUCUCAAAAGAAUGAUUCCAUUCUGAUGUGCGGUUGUUUAGUCUAAUGACCUUCGUGAUGCAAGCAGCCUCCUUUCUGGAUUGCAAUCUUGUGAUUGAUGAUGACAACAACAAUCAUAUAUACAUAUAUAUAAUCUUGUGAUUGACGAUGGCAACAUAUAAUCUUGUGUGGACGACGCCAUGUUGCAGUUCUUCCGGCGAGCACUAAGAUUUUCUAGGGUUUCGACCGAGUGGGAGCGUUAAAAUUUACUUGUGAGGUGAUAGAGGCAAUUUGGUCAAUUUACUUGUGAGGUGAGAAAUAAAAGAAUGGAAAAUAUAAAUGGUGUGCUCUUUUCCGAAUUCAUUUAAUGAAACUGAUGUUGUUCUUUAAAUUACUUUAAAACAAGUGCUAUUUUCUUAAUACUAUCUUAAACACUUGUUGUUUCGUAGAUUCCCCCAACUAAGGGCUUGUUCGGUUAUUUUCAAUCCAUAUGGAUUAGAGGGGAUCGAUACGGAUUAAAAGGGAUUUUGACUUACUAGGGAUUAAAACCCGCACAAUCACCCUCAAUCCAUAUGGAUUGGAGUAGAACUAAACAAGCUCUAGAGGGGCUUGCUCCCCCGUUUUGGCGUCCAGAAAUGGAGAACCUUAUCUAAAUUUACACUACUAGUUCAGUUUAAGAGGGUAUAUUAGCCGGAGCAGAGAAAAGGGGAGAAAAAUGCUAGGAAUUUUCAGGUCGGGCACAACAAGUAGGAGUGGUAAUGAAUUAUGAUCUGAAUUUUUUUUCACAAUUUGUUAGAGCUAUAAAAUAAUUUUAGUUUAAAAAUGAACAUAAAUAGAGCUUUUUAAUCCUUAAAUUCUAUAAUUUAAAAUUAAAGGCUUAUUGUCACUCCUAAGUACCAGCGUUUUGGUGGCCUUCUUGAGCUUUUUCAUGAUAACUCAUCAGGACAAGGACGACAGACAUGGCAAGGGUGAGCAAACAAGGAACAGGUUGGUAGUACUGCUACUGUUUUGCACUCGAUCAUAUUCAGAGCUGGGAGAUCCAUCUCCAGAGUGCCGAUGCUAUGGCUAUGCACGCAUAAUUUCCAAGCUUCCCGCGUUACAACGUCAACCAUUGUAGUAACCACGGUAGUGGAGGGCGGUGCCCAGCGUGGCCAAGCAGCGCGUCAGGUCGUGCACCAGCCCCAAGCAGCAGCUACUGGCCGCGGAACCCGCGCGCCCGGCCUCGCCCUCGCCGGCGCCGCGGCACUGGUCUACCGCCGGCACCAGGCAGCGGGGGUGCAACUCCGCGGCGCACGUCACGCAGCGGUACCGCCACGCGCCCAGGGCCCGGCCGCACGAGCCGCACCCCACCGCCUGCUUCUGCUUUUGCUUGCCAUCGCCGUCGUCCGGGUGCGCGGGGCCCCGCGCCGACCCGGGCAUCCGCGCGCACAGCGGGUGCACGGCGACCCCGCACGCGACGCAGGCGUAGCACGCGCGCUCCACGGCCUCGCUGCACACCUCGCACCCGCCGCCGCCGCCGCUGCCGUCGGCUCCCGCGGCCUCGCGCCGCCUCAGCCUGUGCAGCGGGUGCACGGCGGACUACACCAUAUAUAUCACAAAUAUCACCACAUAAAUCAGGUUUCACAGCACAUAAGUCUCAAUAAGUAUCUCACAAGACCAAGUAUAACUAACAUCACCAACACUCACAAAUAUAAGUCUGGAUCAUCACAAAACAGGUCAUCAACGAGGUGGGCAUCUGGACUGGUUCGGCGAAGGGCUGGACGAAGCGUGAGGGUUGUUCGACGCCGCCGAUUGACCCUGCACAGAGAAGAGAUUGCAUGUGUGAGAACAUAUGAAUAUAUAUCAUGCAGUACUAAAAUUUUGAUACUCACAGGAGUAGUGAACUCAGCAGGGUCAGCUGCAGGGAACAACGGAGGUGGUGGAGCAUGACCCUGUGCGGCGCCAAGGCUCUGCAUGUACGCGAACAUCUCCGCCAUCCUCUUCUCCAGCUCCUCACGUUGCCUCCUCUCAUCAUCUAGCUGAGUCUGUAAUAUUUUGCCCUAAUGUUACGAUAAUGCAAAGAGAAGAUAUAUAAUAAUCAAUGAACGAUGAAUAGAUAAGGAAUAACCUGGAGUUGUUGGAUACGAUGCUGUGAGCUGUCCUACCGAGGUCGUAUGGCUGGGCUCGCGCUCGUGCUCCUAGCUCGCACCUGAGAUAGAGUGGGAGUGGAGGACGAGUCGAUUGCCCCGUCAGCAAUCCAGUACCGCCCAUGCCUCUUGCCUCCUCCGACCCUCAUGAGGACAUCUCCGUCGAUGUCCUCGGUCCUCGGAUCGUAAUCUGGCCCGUGGACCUCCUUGGCCAUGGCGGUGUACUAACUGAGGCGGCUGUGGACGGUGGGGUUGGUGUACGCCUCGGGCCCGUCAUCCGGGUUGUAGGUGACGUCGGACGUCGCCUUCCCCUUGUGGGCCAUAGCAUAUGCCAAGAACGUGGAGCAAGGCGCGCCACCAUGUGCCACCGACUGCGAGAUAACCAACGAGAUGGUUAGAAAUCAUGUCUAGUCGAAAGUUAUAUACCUAAAUAAAAAGAGCGCGUACCCAUGCUUCCGCGUAUUUGCCCAGGCUGCGGCUGCCUUGAUGGUGGGAGGGACCUUGCAUCAUCAAACGCCGUUCCCGGCUAGCGUUGUGCGCCUCGUCCCACUCAGCCGAGCACCACCCCUGCACCAUCUGCUCCCAGCACUCAGGAUGCGCGGCGCACCAAUGAGGAAUCAUCUAAAAAAUACAAGUACACGGCAUAUCAGAAGAUAAAAUUAAGCAUAUUUAGUACCAAUAAUAAAGUUUUGUAUUUACCUGCAAGUACUGGUCCGGAGUCAACGACAUGGUUCGGGCGUCCUUCUUGCUCACCUUCUCCCCAAGGACGGAGCCAUGGUAAGUGACGAUGGCCUGGAUGCGUGCCUCGUAGUGCAUGUCCACGACGAGCUUCUUACAGCUCGUGGUAGCCACCACAUCCGCCCUGGCCUCGUAUCCAGCCUCGCAUCUGAAGAAAUCCUACAUACAAAAACGAUGUAUCCAUACAUUAUUUCAAGAAUAUGCAACAAAUGCGACUAAACAAUAUAGUGCGAGGAAGACUUACCCACAACUCUUGCUUCACCCGCUCCGCCUUGUUACUGCAUUGGGGGCGACGACAUAGUGGUCGAAGGUGUAGGCUGGGCUCGUCACUCCGGCGUACUCGACAAGUCCAGGGAAGUGUUCCCUGCAUAGAAGGCCGAGGAUGCCAUUGGGGUUGCGGCCGUGACCCCCUGCACUCUCCAAAACCUUCCAAGACCUUUCCAAGUGAUUAAGAUAAAGUAUUAGUUUCUAUUAUUAAUUUGAACAUAUAAUAUGAAAAAGCAGCAACAACAUCUAAAGUUACCUACCGCUCUCCAUCGGGUCAUAUCAGCGGACGUCUGUCACGAAGUAUGGGUCGCUGAGGGAGACUCGCGGGACGGGCGGGUGGGGUGGGCCUAAUAAAAAUAAAUUUUUUUACUAUUUUUAAAAUAUGUUUUAUGUUUCCUGGAAACGAUUUGCACUGGCGGUUUUAUUACGUCGACCGCCAGUGAAAAUCGAUUUUCACUGGCGGUUUUAUUACGCCGACCGCCAGUGAAAAUCGAUUUUCACUGGCGGUCCUCAGUUACCCGCCUGUAGAAAUGAUGAUUUCUACUGGCCCCUAUCACUGGCGGUUACGAAAAACGCCACUAUAAAUAGGUUUACAACCGCCACUAUAGAACUUCUCUGUACUAGUGCUCCGAUGAUCCGAUCCUUAAUUCCUUCUUGGAUUCUCUUCUACUCUAGAGCUCUGCUAGACCGAUCUCCAGUUAAGUUUCAUACACAUGGAGAGCAACGCCUCGUCCAACUGCGCCACCGUGCCGCAGCCGCCGCCGUCGACAGGGAAGCUGAUCACGAUUCUGAGCAUCGAUGGUGGCGGCAUCCGCGGCCUCAUCCCAGCCACCAUCAUCGCGCACCUCGAGGCCAAGCUGCAGGAGCUGGACGGCCCAGAUGCUCGGAUCGCCGACUACUUCGACGUGAUCGCCGGGACGAGCACCGGCGCCCUUCUCACGUCGAUGCUGGCGACGCCGGACCAGAACAACCGGCCGCUGUUCGCCGCAAAGGACCUCAACACGUUCUACCUCGAGAACGGGCCCAAGAUCUUCCCUCAGAAAAAGUAUACGCCGUUCAUAUCCGCCUGACGCUCUUUCUUCUUCCUUGGUUUGGUAGCUCUCUGUCACUUUCAUUCAUGCGUCAGUUAGUUCGGCUGUUCUUCGUGUCGCAUGCAUCGCAUCUAUCCACCAACUCUAAGCUACAGCUACCCAACGGGUCCAGCAAAUUCAUACUGUGGUUUGUGGUGGUGCACAGGGCCGGGUUCCUGACGCCGGUGGCGAACCUGCUGGGCCUGGUGAGGGGUCCCAAGUACGACGGCGUGUUCCUGCACGACAAGAUCAAGAGCCUGACGCACGACGUGAGGGUGGCGGACACGGUGACCAACGUCAUCGUGCCGGCGUUCGAUGUCAAGUACCUGCAGCCCAUCAUCUUCUCCACGUACGAGGCCAAGAACGACACCCUCAAGAACGCGCACCUCUCCGACAUCUGCAUCAGCACGUCGGCGGCGCCCACCUACUUCCCGGCACACUUCUUCAAGAUGGAGGCCACCGACGGCAGGUCCCGCGAGUUCCACCUCGUCGACGGCGGCGUCGCGGCCAACAACCCCACCAUGGUCGCCAUGUCCAUGCUCACCAAGGAGGUGCUCCGCCGGAACCCGGACUUCAACGCCGGCAGGCCCACCGAGUACACCAACUACCUCAUCAUCUCCGUGGGGACCGGCUCGGCCAAGCAGGCGGAGAAGUACACCGCGCCGCAGUGCGCGAAAUGGGGCCUCUUUCAGUGGCUAUACAACGGCGGCUUCACCCCGAUCAUCGACAUCUUCUCCCACGCCAGCUCCGACAUGGUCGACAUCCAUGCUGCCGUGCUCUUCCAGGCCCUCCACUGUGAGAAGAACUACCUUCGCAUUCAGGUACAGUGUAUGUACAGGAUACAUGAAAACAUCUAACAUGGACAUACUAAAGCAAAAAACAAAAAUGUUCUUCAUAUAAAACGGAUGACGACCAUUGAUGGCUGCUAUUAUAUUGGACGCCUGUGUGUGUAGGAUGAUACUCUGAUUGGGAACACAUCAUCAGUGGACAUCGCGACCAAGGAGAACAUGGAGUCUCUGAUCGGGAUCGGCCAGGACCUGCUCAAGAAGCCAGUGGCCAGAGUGAACAUCGACACAGGUGUGUACGAGCCCUGCUCCGGCGAGGGGACGAAUGCAGAGGCGCUAGCUCACUUCGCCAAGAAGCUCUCUGACGAGCGCAAGCUACGCAAGCGCAAUCU
RNAcentral lists this long non-coding RNA (5783 nucleotides) under Zea mays. RNAcentral describes it as "long non-coding RNA (ZMAY_LNC001355)". The record is from RNAcentral. Lineage: Eukaryota; Viridiplantae; Streptophyta; Magnoliopsida; Poales; Poaceae.